RNAcentral lists this ribosomal RNA (465 nucleotides) under Vreelandella stevensii. Its description in RNAcentral is "partial 16S ribosomal RNA". It matches the Rfam family "Bacterial small subunit ribosomal RNA", at positions 338 to 795 of the family's 1533-position model. The record is from RNAcentral. Lineage: Bacteria; Pseudomonadati; Pseudomonadota; Gammaproteobacteria; Oceanospirillales; Halomonadaceae.
CCUACGGGCGGCAGCAGUGGGGAAUAUUGGACAAUGGGGGCAACCCUGAUCCAGCCAUGCCGCGUGUGUGAAGAAGGCCCUCGGGUUGUAAAGCACUUUCAGUGAGGAAGAACGCCUGGUGGUUAAUACCCAUCAGGAAAGACAUCACUCACAGAAGAAGCACCAGCUAACUCCGUGCCAGCAGCCGCGGUAAUACGGAGGGUGCGAGCGUUAAUCGGAAUUACUGGGCGUAAAGCGCGCGUAGGUGGCUUGAUAAGCCGGUUGUGAAAGCCCCGGGCUCAACCUGGGAACGGCAUCCGGAACUGUCAAGCUAGAGUGCAGGAGAGGAAGGUAGAAUUCCCGGUGUAGCGGUGAAAUGCGUAGAGAUCGGGAGGAAUACCAGUGGCGAAGGCGGCCUUCUGGACUGACACUGACACUGAGGUGCGAAAGCGUGGGUAGCAAACAGGAUUAGAUACCCUGGUAGUC